This 76-nucleotide transfer RNA is filed under the name Chloroflexi bacterium RBG_16_54_18. Its description in RNAcentral is "tRNA-Glu". It matches the Rfam family "tRNA". Rfam says of the family: Transfer RNA (tRNA) molecules are approximately 80 nucleotides in length. Their secondary structure includes four short double-helical elements and three loops (D, anti-codon, and T loops). Lineage: Bacteria; Bacillati; Chloroflexota. The record is from RNAcentral.
GCCCCCAUCGUCUAGGGGACCAGGACGCAGCCCUUUCAAGGCUAAAACGAGAGUUCGAAUCUCUCUGGGGGCACUA